RNAcentral lists this ribosomal RNA (353 nucleotides) under Salmonella enterica subsp. enterica serovar Typhimurium var. 5- str. CFSAN004345. Its description in RNAcentral is "bacterial LSU rRNA". It matches the Rfam family "Bacterial large subunit ribosomal RNA", at positions 1076 to 1427 of the family's 2925-position model. Lineage: Bacteria; Pseudomonadati; Pseudomonadota; Gammaproteobacteria; Enterobacterales; Enterobacteriaceae. The record is from RNAcentral.
UGGGAAGGCCCAGACAGCCAGGAUGUUGGCUUAGAAGCAGCCAUCAUUUAAAGAAAGCGUAAUAGCUCACUGGUCGAGUCGGCCUGCGCGGAAGAUGUAACGGGGCUAAACCAUGCACCGAAGCUGCGGCAGCGACGCUGAUGCGUUGUUGGGUAGGGGAGCGUUCUGUAAGCCUGUGAAGGUGGCCUGUGAGGGUUGCUGGAGGUAUCAGAAGUGCGAAUGCUGACAUAAGUAACGAUAAAGCGGGUGAAAAGCCCGCUCGCCGGAAGACCAAGGGUUCCUGUCCAACGUUAAUCGGGGCAGGGUGAGUCGACCCCUAAGGCGAGGCCGAAAGGCGUAGUCGAUGGGAAACG